Molecule: ribosomal RNA, 198 nt
Filed under: Triticum aestivum (bread wheat)
Lineage: Eukaryota; Viridiplantae; Streptophyta; Magnoliopsida; Poales; Poaceae
Description: partial small subunit ribosomal RNA
Source: RNAcentral
AUGACCGUGCGGUACCCGGCUGAAGACUCGGGGGAGAAGAUCACGAUCUCGGCGCACCUCGUCGGCGAGGGCGGGGUCGGCGACAGCCACUUCCAUCUCGACAGCGACGACUACGAGCCCAUCGUUUUCGCAGUGAAAAACCUUGUCUCGGCUCUGGAGAAGGUAGGAGAUCCGCAGGCCUCUCUAUCCAAGAUGUAG